RNAcentral lists this ribosomal RNA (1363 nucleotides) under uncultured bacterium. RNAcentral describes it as "partial 16S rRNA". It matches the Rfam family "Bacterial small subunit ribosomal RNA", at positions 43 to 1378 of the family's 1533-position model. The record is from RNAcentral.
UGUGCCUAACACAUGCAAGUCGCGCAGAGUAAGAAGGGGGGCAACUCCCUGAAGUAAAGCGGCAAACGGGUGAGUACCACGUAGGUAACCUACCCUCGAGUCCAGGAUAACCCGCCGAAAGGUGGGCUAAUACCGGAUAUGACCACGGGAACCUCGGUUCCUGCGGUGAAAGGUGGCCUCUGCUUGCAAGCUACCGCUCGAAGAUGGGCCUGCGCGCCAUUAGCUAGUUGGUGGGGUAACGGCCCACCAAGGCGAUGAUGGCUAGCUGGUCUGAGAGGAUGGCCAGCCACACUGGGACUGAAACACGGCCCAGACUCCUACGGGAGGCAGCAGUGGGGGAUAUUGCGCAAUGGGGGAAACCCUGACGCAGCGACGCCGCGUGAGCGAUGAAGGCCUUCGGGUUGUAAAGCUCUGUCUUUGGGGAAGAAGGCUUCCCCUGCGAACAGCGGGAGGAGAUGACGGUACCCGAGGAGGAAGCCCCGGCUAACUACGUGCCAGCAGCCGCGGUAAUACGUAGGGGGCGAGCGUUGUCCGGAAUCACUGGGCGUAAAGGGCGCGUAGGCGGCUCGCCAAGUCAGAUGUGAAACGCCACGGCUCAACCGUGGAGCUGCAUAUGAAACUGGCGGGCUUGAGGGCAGGAGAGGGGAGCGGAAUUCCCGGUGUAGCGGUGAAAUGCGUAGAGAUCUGGAGGAAUACCGGUGGCGAAGGCGGCCCCCUGGACAAAGACUGACGCUCAGGUGCGAAAGCGUGGGGAGCAAACAGGAUUAGAUACCCUGGUAGUCCACGCCGUAAACGAUGUCGACUUGGAGGUUGUGCCCUUGAGGCGUGGCUUCCGGAGCUAACGCGUUAAGUCGACCGCCUGGGGAGUACGGCCGCAAGGUUAAAACUCAAAUGAAUUGACGGGGGCCCGCACAAGCGGUGGAGCAUGUGGUUUAAUUCGAUGCAACGCGAAGAACCUUACCUACUCUUGACAUCCAGAGAACUUUCCAGAGAUGGAUUGGUGCCUUCGGGAACUCUGAGACAGGUGCUGCAUGGCUGUCGUCAGCUCGUGUUGUGAAAUGUUGGGUUAAGUCCCGCAACGAGCGCAACCCUUAUCCUUUGUUGCCAGCGGUUAGGCCGGGAACUCAAAGGAGACUGCCAGUGAUAAACUGGAGGAAGGUGGGGAUGACGUCAAGUCAUCAUGGCCCUUACGAGUAGGGCUACACACGUGCUACAAUGGCGCAUACAAAGAGAAGCGACCUCGCGAGAGCAAGCGGACCUCAUAAAGUGCGUCGUAGUCCGGAUUGGAGUCUGCAACUCGACUCCAUGAAGUCGGAAUCGCUAGUAAUCGUGGAUCAGAAUGCCACGGUGAAACGUACCCGGC